This 71-nucleotide transfer RNA is filed under the name Loxodonta africana (African savanna elephant). It matches the Rfam family "tRNA". Rfam says of the family: Transfer RNA (tRNA) molecules are approximately 80 nucleotides in length. Their secondary structure includes four short double-helical elements and three loops (D, anti-codon, and T loops). Further hydrogen bonds mediate the characteristic L-shaped molecular structure. tRNAs have two regions of fundamental functional importance: the anti-codon, which is responsible for specific mRNA codon recognition, and the 3' end, to which the tRNAs corresponding amino acid is attached (by aminoacyl-tRNA synthetases). tRNAs cope with the degeneracy of the genetic code in two manners: having more than one tRNA (with a specific anti-codon) for a particular amino acid; and 'wobble' base-pairing, i.e. permitting non-standard base-pairing at the 3rd anti-codon position. Lineage: Eukaryota; Metazoa; Chordata; Mammalia; Proboscidea; Elephantidae. The record is from Rfam by way of RNAcentral.
GCAUUGGUGAUUCAGAGGUAGAAGUCUCACCCUCCGUGGGGGAGGCCUGGGUUCGAUUCCCAGUCAAUGCA